UGGGGAAUCUUGCACAAUGGGGGCAACCCUGAUGCAGCGACGCCGCGUGAGCGAUGAAGCCCUUCGGGGCGUAAAGCCCUUUCGACCGGAACGAUAAUGACGGUACCGGGAGAAGAAGCUGCGGCUAACUACGUGCCAGCAGCCGCGGUAAUACGUAGGCAGCAAGCGUUGUUCGGAGUUACUGGGCGUAAAGAGUGCGUAGGCGGUUUUCUAAGUUCGGUGUGAAAUCUCCCGGCUUAACUGGGAGGGUGCGCCGAAGACUGGGAAGCUGGAGUGUGGGAAAGGCAGGCGGAAUUCCUGGUGUAGCGGUGAAAUGCGUAGAUAUCAGGAGGAACACCGGCGGUGUAGACGGCUUGCUAGACCAUAACUGACGCUGAGGCACGAAAGCGUGGGUAGCAAACA
RNAcentral lists this ribosomal RNA (402 nucleotides) under uncultured bacterium. Its description in RNAcentral is "bacterial SSU rRNA". It matches the Rfam family "Bacterial small subunit ribosomal RNA", at positions 355 to 774 of the family's 1533-position model. The record is from RNAcentral.